GGGGGCUUAGCUCAGUUGGGAGAGCGCCUGCUUUGCACGCAGGAGGUCAGGGGUUCGAAUCCCCUAGCCUCCACCA
This 76-nucleotide transfer RNA is filed under the name Gemmatimonadales bacterium. Its description in RNAcentral is "tRNA-Ala". It matches the Rfam family "tRNA". Rfam says of the family: Transfer RNA (tRNA) molecules are approximately 80 nucleotides in length. Their secondary structure includes four short double-helical elements and three loops (D, anti-codon, and T loops). Further hydrogen bonds mediate the characteristic L-shaped molecular structure. tRNAs have two regions of fundamental functional importance: the anti-codon, which is responsible for specific mRNA codon recognition, and the 3' end, to which the tRNAs corresponding amino acid is attached (by aminoacyl-tRNA synthetases). tRNAs cope with the degeneracy of the genetic code in two manners: having more than one tRNA (with a specific anti-codon) for a particular amino acid; and 'wobble' base-pairing, i.e. permitting non-standard base-pairing at the 3rd anti-codon position. The record is from RNAcentral. Lineage: Bacteria; Pseudomonadati; Gemmatimonadota; Gemmatimonadia; Gemmatimonadales.